Molecule: ribosomal RNA, 474 nt
Filed under: uncultured bacterium
Lineage: Bacteria
Description: partial 16S ribosomal RNA
Rfam family: Bacterial small subunit ribosomal RNA
Source: RNAcentral
AGCGAACGCUGGCGGCAGGCCUAACACAUGCAAGUCGAACGAACUCUUCGGAGUUAGUGGCGGACGGGUGAGUAACACGUGGGAACGUGCCUUUAGGUUCGGAAUAACUCAGGGAAACUUGAGCUAAUACCGGAUGUGCCCUUCGGGGGAAAGAUUUAUCGCCUUUAGAGCGGCCCGCGUCUGAUUAGCUAGUUGGUGAGGUAAAGGCUCACCAAGGCGACGAUCAGUAGCUGGUCUGAGAGGAUGAUCAGCCACAUUGGGACUGAGACACGGCCCAAACUCACGCGGGAGGCAGGGGUGGGGAAUCUGGCGCAAGGGGCGAACGCACGACCCACCCAUGCUGUGUGAAUGAUUAAGGUCUUAGGAUGGUAAAAUUCUUUAACGGGGGAGGAGAAGGACGGUACCCAGAGAAGAAGCCCCAGCUAACGUCGUGCCAGCGGCCGGGUUAUAAUCGAACGAAGCACACUUGUAACC